Molecule: long non-coding RNA, 624 nt
Filed under: Canis lupus familiaris (dog)
Lineage: Eukaryota; Metazoa; Chordata; Mammalia; Carnivora; Canidae
Description: lncRNA (ENSCAFG00845026846.1)
Source: RNAcentral
CAGGUGUCUGCAAGAUGGUUGGGAAAGAUUGCACUUAGAGGAACUCUGCAAGUGAAGCCAACAUGUACUUACUAGGAGUCUGGCUGAAUGACCAGUGUGAGCAACCGGAGCUCUGCAAAUGUGGAAUGGGCCAUGAUGGAGGCCUGUUUCCAGAUACUUGACCCAGCUGUGUAUGGAAGCCUGAGAUCUUCUGAACAUGAAGCAAAAGGUCAAAGGAGGAUUUGCAGGAGACUUACCUGAAAGCCUCAGAUAUAAAAGGGCUAAUUUUUCAAGAAGAAAGUAAAAGAACCAUAGUCAAGAAAUAAAGACUGGAAGCAAGGGAAGAAAAGAAGUGUUGCAUUAGAAAACCUAGUCAAGGGCAGCCCGGGUGCCUCAGCGGUUUAGCGCCGCCUUCAGCCCAGAGCAUGAUCCUGGAGACCCGGGAUUGAGUCCCACGCCGGGCUCCCUGCAUGGAGCCUGCUUCUCCCUCUGCCUGUGUCUCUGCCCCUCUUUCUCUCUCUCUCUUUCUCUCUCUCUCUCUCUGUCUCUCAUGAAUAAAUAAAUAAAAUCUUAAAAAAAAAAAAAGAAAACCUAGUCAAGCAAAUGUUCUUACUUGACUUGAAACUCCCCUCUUUGGGGUUUCAU